This 500-nucleotide ribosomal RNA is filed under the name uncultured bacterium. RNAcentral describes it as "partial 16S ribosomal RNA". It matches the Rfam family "Bacterial small subunit ribosomal RNA", at positions 30 to 523 of the family's 1533-position model. The record is from RNAcentral.
AUUGAACGCUGGCGGAAUGCUUUACACAUGCAAGUCGAACGGCAGCACGGACUUCGGUCUGGUGGCGAGUGGCGAACGGGUGAGUAAUGUAUCGGAACGUGCCCAGUCGUGGGGGAUAACGUAGUGAAAAUUACGCUAAUACCGCAUACGAUCUAUGGAUGAAAGCGGGGGAUCGCAAGACCUCGCGCGAUUGGAGCGGCCGAUAUCAGAUUAGGUAGUUGGUGGGGUAAAGGCCCACCAAGCCAACGAUCUGUAGCUGUUCUGAGAGGACGACCAGCCACACUGGAACUGAGACACGGUCCAGACUCCUACGGGAGGCAGCAGUGGGGAAUUUUGGACAAUGGUCGAAAGCCUGAUCCAGCCAUUCCGCGUGCAGGAUGAAGGCCCUCGGGUUGUAAACUGCUUUUGUACAGAACGAAAAGGUUUCUACUAAUACUAGGAGCUCAUGACGGUACUGUAAGAAUAAGCACCGGCUAACUACGUGCCAGCCGCCGCAGUAA